This 809-nucleotide ribosomal RNA is filed under the name uncultured bacterium. RNAcentral's name for it is "bacterial SSU rRNA". It matches the Rfam family "Bacterial small subunit ribosomal RNA", at positions 562 to 1378 of the family's 1533-position model. The record is from RNAcentral.
AAAGCGUCCGCAGGUGGUUGUGAAAGUUGAUGGUUAAAUCCUGGAGCUUAACUUCAGAAAUGCUGUCAAAACUUCAUAACUCGAGGUUGGGAGAGGCAAACGGAACUGCCGGUGUAGUCGUAAUAAGCGCUGAUAUCGGCAGGAACACCAAAGGCGAAGGCAGUUUGCUGGAACACACCUGACACUCAUGGACGAAAGCGUGGGUAGCGAAAGGGAUUAGAUACCCCUGUAGUCCACGCCCUAAACGAUGUGCACUAGGUAUUGCGAGUAUCGACCCUCGCAGUGCCGUUUAAAAAAGCUAACGCGUUAAGUGCACCGCCUGGGGAGUACGGCCGCAAGGUUAAAACUCAAAGGAAUAGACGGGGACCCGCACAAGUAGAGGAUCAUGCGGUUUAAUUCGAUGGUACACGGGGAACCUUACCAGGGCUCAACUACUAGCUGCAAGCCGGAUGAAAGUCUGGCCGCCUUCGAGGGUGCUAGAUAGGUGCUGCAUGGUUGCCGUCAGCUCGUGCCGUGAGGUGUACCGUUAAGUCGGGUAACGAGCGCAACCCUCAGUGUGUGUUAAAUGUACACGCACGACUGCCUACGCAAGUAGGAGGAAGGUGGGGACGACGUCAAAUCAGCAUGGCUCUUACGUCCUGGGCAACACGCAUGAUACAAUGGUUGGUACAGAGGGUAGCAAAACCGCAAGGCGAAGCCAAUCCCAGAAAACCAAUCGUAGUUCGGAUUGAAGGCUGCAACUCGCCUUCAUGAAGCUGGAUUUACUAGUAAAUGCGCAUCAGCCACGGCGCAUUGAAUACGUUCUCGGG